This is a long non-coding RNA of Mauremys reevesii (Reeves's turtle), 413 nucleotides long. RefSeq lists it as uncharacterized. Lineage: Eukaryota; Metazoa; Chordata; Testudines; Geoemydidae. The record is from RefSeq and is a predicted model, not a curated record. The transcript has 3 exons.
GGAGACUGGCAAACAGCCAGGAAAGACAAAGAGCAGCCACCCAGGUGGAGCCGGUGCUGGUGGUGUGCUCUGAAAGAAGGGCAGGAACUGGACUUUCAGGGAGCGAGCUCUGGAAGGCUAGCAGCCAAGGUAAGCUCUCUCAGAGCCAGAGCAUCAAAGCCGCACAAGUGGAGCUGGCACUGUUGCAGCAGCAGAAAUAGGGCUGUCCAAGCUGGGAUGAAAUGAGAAUAAUCAAAGUCUCAUUAGUUCUGGAAAGCUUCAAACUCCAUCAUGCUGCCAAGACUUCACUAUAAGAAAUGGGCCUGGCUGACAUUGUCUUCACAAACAACCUCUACUGCAUUUUGUGAUCAACACUUCUACUUAUCAGUACUAAAGAGUAAGGGUGAAAUAAAUCCAAUGGCAAAACUCCCAAU